Molecule: ribosomal RNA, 847 nt
Filed under: uncultured bacterium
Lineage: Bacteria
Description: bacterial SSU rRNA
Rfam family: Bacterial small subunit ribosomal RNA
Source: RNAcentral
AAGUCGAACGAGAGAAGAGAAGCUUGCUUUUCUGAUCUAGUGGCGGACGGGUGAGUAACACGUGAGCAAUCUGCCUUUCAGAGGGGGAUACCGAUUGGAAACGAUCGUUAAUACCGCAUAACAUAAUUGAACCGCAUGAUUUGAUUAUCAAAGAUUUAUCGCUGAAAGAUGAGCUCGCGUCUGAUUAGCUAGUUGGUAAGGUAACGGCUUACCAAGGCGACGAUCAGUAGCCGGACUGAGAGGUUGAUCGGCCACAUUGGGACUGAGACACGGCCCAGACUCCUACGGGAGGCAGCAGUGGGGAAUAUUGCACAAUGGAGGAAACUCUGAUGCAGCGAUGCCGCGUGAGGGAAGAAGGUUUUAGGAUUGUAAACCUCUGUCUUCAGGGACGAAAAAAUGACGGUACCUGAGGAGGAAGCUCCGGCUAACUACGUGCCAGCAGCCGCGGUAAUACGUAGGGAGCGAGCGUUGUCCGGAAUUACUGGGUGUAAAGGGAGCGUAGGCGGGAUCGCAAGUCAGAUGUGAAAACUAUGGGCUUAACCCAUAAACUGCAUUUGAAACUGUGGUUCUUGAGUGAAGUAGAGGUAAGCGGAAUUCCUAGUGUAGCGGUGAAAUGCGUAGAUAUUAGGAGGAACAUCAGUGGCGAAGGCGGCUUACUGGGCUUUAACUGACGCUGAGGCUCGAAAGCGUGGGGAGCAAGCAGGAUUAGAUACCCUGGUAGUCCACGCCGUAAACGAUGAUUACUAGGUGUGGGGGGACUGACCCCUUCCGUGCCGCAGCAAACGCAAUAAGUAAUCCACCUGGGGAGUACGACCGCAAGGUUGAAACUCAAAGGAAUUGACGGGGG